UUGUUAUAAUUUAAAUGUCACUAGGGAGUAGCUUCUCUUCUCUACAGAAGAUGGCUUACAUCAACAUACUUGAGCUUAGGCUUAUGGUGUAAGCGGUUUAAAUACUUGGCAAGACUUUUGACUACAAACACUUACUUAGGCUGUGGGUGCGUUGUAGUCAUUUGUUUAUGUCACAGCCUAGAGGACU
Molecule: small RNA, 187 nt
Filed under: marine metagenome
Description: Marine metagenome Manganese sequence
Rfam family: Manganese Mn2+ riboswitch aptamer (yybP-ykoY)
About the family: This RNA was originally discovered in E. coli during a large scale screen and was named SraF. The family was later found to exist upstream of related families of protein genes in many bacteria, including the the yybP and ykoK genes in B. subtilis. The specific functions of these proteins are unknown, but this structured RNA element may be involved in their genetic regulation as a riboswitch.
Source: Rfam by way of RNAcentral